Molecule: non-coding RNA, 14520 nt
Organism: Podarcis lilfordi (Lilford's wall lizard)
Lineage: Eukaryota; Metazoa; Chordata; Lepidosauria; Squamata; Lacertidae
Source: the annotation of a GenBank genome assembly
CGAUGCUUUGCCCUGUGUCCUUUUUGGCUAGUGGCCGGGGCUCCAGAACGGAUCCUAGCCUCAAAACAAGGUAUGACUGUAUAUGCAAGGAGUUCUAUAGGUACCCUUUCUUUAUAUUUUGGAUUCAGUAUAAGCAAAUUAGACAAAAUCAAGCAAAUAAAAGUAGACGAUUACAGACCCAGCAAGUGCAGUGUGGCUUGGAACUUCCCUCUAAUCAUACAAAGCAGCUAGUGCCGACAUGGCUGUAAAACUCUAGGCCUGGAAGGUUUCCAAAAUGGAAUGUCCAGCUCCCUGCCGUGAGAAUCAACCUUCAGUAACCAAAUAACCAGAAACUAUUUGCUCAUGCCAUCAAGAUCAUAGUGUGCCAAAAGUAGUUUGCAGGGCUGGGGAAAUUAAAGAAUGCCUUAAGAGAAGAAGUAAAUUAAACUCCAGAUACUUAAGCAAGCAUGCGAGCAAACAAACAAAACCCCAAAUUCCUGGCAGUCUGAUUACAGGGGGGAAAUUCCUCCAAAUGUAGAAGUGUCCUGCCUUCUGAGCCUUCCCCAGGGGAAUGUAUUCAUAACCUUUCUCUUGGUCACCUUGUUCAGUUUUUUUGGAUCAGGUGUUAUUGUAUGCAUGGUUAAUAAUGCAUGCCUUAAUAAUGGAAAAUACUAUGGUACUUCUCAUUUCCAUGUAAGGCUUCUCUGGAAGGACCUGUUCCUCCUUUGUUUACUUAAAAGAGUAGUGCUUGCGAGGAGCAAAGACUUUUUCAGCUCUAGAACAAAUUCUCUGAGGAGAUAUAAUGCAGGCCAGCAAGCCAGGGCUGAAAUUAUCUGGGAAUGCUCAGGCUGUAAACAACUCAUCUUUACUGUUCCAGCUCUUAAAUUCUGUUUUAAAUAGAUUAAUUUCAGAAUUACAUUUAGAAUGAAGGAUGCGCUUCAGCUGUCAAGUCUGCUGAAGUUGUUAAUAAGAGUAAGGAGUUGUGCUGCACCAUUCACAACCACACGAGCUAUUAUUAUCUGCAUAAGUGAGUCCACAAGUGGAGAAUUUGAGCAACAGGGCUCACUCCAGCUUUUAAUAGAGGAGGUGGGGACACACUUGCUUGACUAUCUUGCCCCCACUCCAUGGCAGCCAUUUGGUGGUGGACCCUAUGAAUUUUGAAAUGUGACUGCAGGCCAACAGCUAAGAUAAAGUCAUUAGGCCAACCUAUGUUGGUGAAGAGAAACUGUUAAAUGGGCACGUCAAAUUUUAUGCUGGAUCUAUAACUAGAUAAACAGGGGGGAAAUAAGCAGAGGAAUAUAUUGGGGGGGGGGGGCAAUGUGCAGUAGUCACUAGUAUUGGAGCCUCGCACCGGAACCCUGGGCUGUUGAUUGCUGCCAUAUCUACCUGAAUGCCCUGUGCUUUUCAAUUAAGCCUCACGUUUAAGAAAAGCAGUAAGCUUAUUAAUGUCUUUCUUGCAAUUGGGGCUUGAGGUCAGUACCUGUCAGUUGCCUGAUUACUUCAAGCCCACCUGGGAUUGCCUGCUCUCCAGAGUUUCAGAUCAGGAACUCUGGAGUGUAGCUGAUCUAAGUUGGGUUGGAAGUCACCAGCAAUUGACUGAAUAGUGGUGACUUCAAGUCCUGUGGGAACAUUCCUUUGUGGCAUGGCUUGUCUCCCAGUUAAUGUUGCAAUGGAAAAAAAAUGGAUCAUCUGAUGUCAUGGUGAUGUCACUUGAUGUGUACACAACCCCACCUGUCAAAGUGGCCUACUGGGGGUGGCGGAGCUAAGGAUCUGGCCUGCCAGGCUGAAACGUUUCCCCACCCUUGCUCAACAGUCCAGCCAUAGUGUACUGCACUAAGCUGCAGCUUCCAAACCAGGCUUAAGGUCAGUCCCCCACACAGCACACAACAGUAGUCCAGUCUUGAGGUUACCAACACACAGGUCACUGUAAGCAAGCUAUCCCUGCCCAGGAACAGGUAUACAUGUUUGCAAAGGGGCUGUGGGGCUAUACUGUUAGUCCCUACCUCAUCACCACUCAAUUCAUUUAGGCUUCCCACAGUAUUAAGCAUUAUCUUGCAGUGAUACUGAAACCCCAUGAUACCAGGCCAGAAGUUAGCAAUCUCCCUUGGUCUACACAAAAGGACCCCUUGACCUAAAUUCAGCCAUGUUUGUAUUCUGCUUCUUCAACCCUGCACAAAUAUUAAGACCCCUUUUGCUUGACACACCUAGCUCCCUGCAACCUGACACAUUUAACCAGCUGCAGUAGACAUUAGAGGAACUUACACUGAUGAGCUUUGUGGUUAGCUAAUUUCCCAGAAUUGAAGAAGGUACAAAGAUGGUAAGGGGAAGAGGGACACAACACAAUGAGUUGCCUCUAAAUCACAAUACUUGUCUGAACUAGAUUGACAGCCACCUCUAGCCAGGGAGUUGACCACAGAAGUUCUUGUUCUUGUAGUUUUGUCUGCUUGUAUUAGACAAUUGUUAGAGAAUGCAAAUGCUUGUUUGAUAGAAAGCAACACAAGAAGAACAUGUCCACACAAGGACAAAGACCCCUUUAUACCAAUGGGGCACAGCAGGGAUCACAGGGGAGGCGGGAGGGUACAUGUAGAGAAAGUACAUAACGUGUGUUCCGUAUAUAACGUGUGUGCUUCGCUGGUUCAGCUUUGGAAAGGAAUCCCUGAACCCAAAUUUCAGUGCUGAAAUAAAUCUUGUGAACUUCCACUCAGUUGUUUGUCCUUAUUGGCUGGGAGCUUCAACGAAAGAUUGGACCAGCUGGGGCCCUAAAUCGUGCAGCGAGAUUUACAACUACAUGGGAAGUUGCCUGAUGUGCGUAAUGAUGAGGCACUGGCUAAAUGGAUGGUCCCACACCCCCUUUGCACCCACACUGCCCUUUAAAGUGAGCAGCAUCUGAAUAGAGCUAGUGCAUUUGGGAGAGCACACCAGAAUGCACUAAUGUGCAUGCACUAGUUUCUCCUCUCAGUGAUAUGUGCAGGUCCCCAUCUUUACCUCCUGUCCCAUGUCCAGUCUGGCUCCUAAUAAAAUCUUGCUGUGUAAUCCUGUUAAUCCUAUUAAUUUUGGUGCAAAUUGCUCCCAGGUAUGUGGGUGUAGGAUUACAAUUGUUGCAAUCAGUCAGUCACAACCCAGAAAUAAGGGUGAUGAUGAAGACAAAGAUCCCUGGUAGGAGUCCAAGGAUUUUACAGGUACACAAGUCUUCCCCCAUUUUUACAAUUAAACUAUUGCACAAUAAUCAAAGAUGCAAGCAAUGUUAACAAAUUAUUGAAAUCCUGCAGCAAAACUGGGGGGGGGGGAGGGAGAGAGAGAGGGAGAGAGAGAGAGAGAGAGGGAGGGAGAGAGAGAGAGAAAGAGAGAGAGCUCUUGGACAAGAGAAACAAGAGCAACUGGUUGGAGAAAAGGAAGUAACACAAAGUAGGUCAAUUAAUAAAUUAAGAUGCAAUGAAAUUAAAUGCUUUUUUAAGUCUUAAGAGACAGUGCCUUUCUUUCUAUUUGCCUUCCAUAAGAAAACUAAAGAAAGGUUGUAGCUAACUAAUCAGCAAGCUUUUCCUAAAAAUGGUCAUUGAAAGCAAACUGGGAAAUAAUUUGAAAUUUUGAAUCUGUUCUGGUGUAGUAGAUAAAACUCUAAAAGAUAUGAAGUAAAUUAACAAGCUUCCCUUAGCAAACCACUGACAAUUAUUUUUGAAAAGCCAUGGUAAAAUUGACAAAGCUAAGUUUUAGAGCAAAGGCUCUUUCUCAUUUUCAAAAUGGCAACAUUCACUCCCAGCACUAACUUUUAUUUCUAGAAACCUCCCCAGUGAACCUUGGGAACCAAACAAGAAGAGAUGCUGAAAGUGUAAUUGCCAGAGGAAACAUCAGGUGUGCAUUUCACCCUUGCUGUGUAAUGCCUAGAAGAACUUACCUGUAUUUUGACACUGCAACAUUCUGUGUAUCCAUGGUGGAAUUGUUGCCACAUUCCUAGUUGGAGGCUCCCACAUGAAAUUGCUGGUGCAAAACAAGGCAUCUGGGAGGAAAAGCGAAGGGCAGUUGCAAAAGGAAACCACUGAGCGGAGUUGACAGGAGCAAACUUGCUCUUCCGCUGUGUGGGUUGCAAAAAGCAGCUGCUGCUAGCAGAGAAACAGCAAGCCCAUUCAACACACUUUUAAAGUGCAUGGCUCUCCUGAAAUAAUAUUGGAAAGUACACUUGGCCCCUCACACGCAUCUAAAAUUCCCAGCAUCCUUAACAAACUAGUUCCCAGGAUUCGGGGGGCAGGGCAGGGGAGCAGUGUGUUUGACCAGUGUCUCUUUCCAAUGCUUUGGCCUUCCCAUGUAAGCUUGACUCAUCUUAAAAGAGCACUCUUUAAAGAGCCAGUUUCAUCCUUACUGUUGAUUCAGUCAAUCUUUAAAGCUGUUGUUCAUCAAAUAUGCCAACUUGCUGACAAAUAUGGACUCCUACUUAUUACUGAUUUUGCUUCAGAAACUCUGUGCUGCACAUCAGGGGUUGGGUGAGGGGAAGCUUGUUGGAUCUACUUUGCAGUGAAAACAACAACAGCCUAACAGCUGCCAGCAGGAGCCAAGUGCAAAAAUGCACACACAGCCCAGCUGCAGUAUCAGUUAAAGGGAUUAUAAUACAAUGGGAUUAUAAUAAUUCAAGUAGAGAGGAUUUUAAUUUCAAAUUAACUUUGUUUGAUGCGUUCGCAAAGUUGCUUGAUUAAAGGGAUGCCGAGUAAUGGUGGGAGGCACCAGCUAAGAAACCCCCAAGGGAACCCCCAGGGGAAGAAGGCUCAGAGUCAAGGGAUUGGUGGGGGUAGGACAAUGAGUGGUCAGAGGGAGAAGGAGCAAAGCGGGAGGAGGAGGUGUCAGAAGAGGUGACAGGGUUUAGUGAACAGGAAGAGGCUGCGGCAGAGCAUAGUUCAGACUCUGAGGCAUAAGCAGAGGUUGGAGGGGAGGGGAGACAGGAGGGGUGCUGAAGAGUUCAGGGAGUCUCCCCCUCCUGCUGCAACCAGCUCCCCUCCCUCCUGGUCUCUGAGAACCCAUCAAAAAUGAAAUGAGCAAAGCAGAGGGUGGUUGUGCACAAACGCAUCCUGAGACUGUGAGGGAAAAACCCUGGAGAGGAGGAAUCCUAGUGGGCACUGGGAAGUCCUCACAACUGCUUCAUCAGGGCAAGACCUCCUAGACAGAAUUGCUGAGAGCUGUGUUUCCUUGACUAAAAAGUUAACUUCACUGGUCUUGGAUGACUUAUAGUUUUCUUGCAGACCGACACCUGACUCCAGCCCUGACAGGCAGAUACUCAGACCACAGAAAUACAAUUGGUAGAUACGGCUCUGUGUGAUGUCAUUUCCUAUCCAUUCCUAGAGUGGAAGGAGCACAUACUAGUUCCUGUUCCUCUUCCUUUGACCAGCAUUGGAUGUAGACAUGUCCCCAGUUGCUCCAGCUUUGGGCACAUGCUUGAAGCCAGUUAUACUGCAAAUGUAAGUAUUUUGCCUGCAUAGUUUUUACUGCUGCCUUUGCUGUGAAUCAGUGACAUUCAACUGCAUGUAUGGAAGGCUUCCUAUAUAUACACUGCUGCUGUAUGUGCAUGGGGUGUUCCAUGCAAUUAGAAAUCUUACUCAAAUAUAGACUUCUAUUAUGAGUUUUCUAGUACCCUCCCCCAAGUACUUAUUCAUGCAGCUCAUAUUUAAAUGAUGGAACUCACUUCCAUAGGAGGCGGGUUAACCACAAACCUAGAUGGUUUUAAAACAGGAUUUGACAAAUUCAUGGAGGAGCAGAGGGCUAUCAAUUAUCACAGCUAUUAGCUACGGAGGUUGUGCUUUGCCUCUUCAGUGGGAGGCUGCAAGGCUUCUGAAUGCCAGUUGCUGAAAACCACAGGAGGGGAGAGAUGCUCUUGUCCUCAGGUCUUGCUUAUAGGGGCAUCUGGCUCGCCACUGUGGAAGGACUUUCUGACAGCAAGAGCUGUUUGACAGUGGAGUGGACUCCCUCAGGAGCUUUUGCUAUCCUUCCUUGGAGGCUUUUAAGCAUAGAUUGGAUGGCCAUCUGUCCUGGAGGCUUGAGUUUAGAUUUCAGCACUGCAGGGGCUGGACUAGAUGAGCCUCAAGAUACCUCCCAACUCCAUGGUCCUAUGAUCCCAUGACUAGAUAUGCCAAUGUCUUGAUCCAGGAGGCUCUUCUUAUGCCCUUAUUUCUAUUUCCCCAUUGUUAACUGUAUUUUGCUUUGUCAUUGUUAUUCUAAAACAAAAGAUGGACUUACGCUGCAGCUUGUCUACUGCUUAACAAAUAUCUGAAAACGGGUCAAUUUUCACUGACAGUCGAACAAAACAGAGUAUGUGUGAGCAUUUUCCUCUCGGCAAAAAAUACUUGCCAUUGUUGUAAUCUGCUAAUGGCUUCCUUACCUUAGUGUAAAUUCUCAGGGUCGGCCCUGCAAUGCAAAGAAUAUAAGACCAUAAGAAGAGCUCUGCUGGAUCAGGCCAGUGGCCCAUUUAAUCCAGCGUCCUGUUCUGGCAGUGGCUGGGCUGGUGCCCAAGGCAGGUCUGCAAGCCAGACCUUAGUGCAACCUCACGCUCUCCUUCUGCGGUUUCCAGCAACUGGGAUUCAGAAUCAUACAGCCUCCAAUAGUGGAGGCAGAACAUAAGUAUCAUGGUUAGCACUGGCAGAGGAAGAGGAGUGUGGGCGGUGCGCCACGCCCCCGGGAUGCGCGCCAGCUCCGCCCCCGCCUGCUCUCCGUCCCCCGGUGCCGGAGCAUGAAGCUCCACCACUGAUAGUUAGUAGCCACUGAUAGCCUUUAAAGCUAAUAUGGAAUGAUUAGUGCAGCAGCCCCAGGAUACUGAGUGGUUUGGAUAUUGAGUGGUUCUAGUCAUUGUCAACAUGCCCUUGCAUUCAGCAAGCAGAUCUUCAUCCUGCCUAGGAUAUAAAAGACAAAUAGGUUAACGCUGCUCUUUCUGAAUUCUGAUAACUGUCAGAUAGUUUGAAGAAUAUGUUUUUGUCUAUAUCCUGACAAAUAAAUCAAUAUUGCCUUUUAGUUUGAAUUAUUGUAGUACUUGGAGAUAUGAAGACUAGCUUCUUCCUUGCACAAAGACUGUUGAUAGUCAAAGUUAAUUGUUCCCUAAAUCGUAAUCGUAGUAGUAGUAGUAGUAGUAGUAGUAGUAGUAAUAAUAAUACAGACAGUCUCUCUCAAACCCUUCCAUAACAUUUUAUUUUCAGGAUUAUAUGACAUUAAACUUUUAAAACCAUGGUGUAGCAAACAAUUACUGGUAUGAAUACAUUUGGGGAACAAACUGAGGACAAUUAAUAAGUUUUUUAGUUCCAUCUAGUGGGAAAGAUGUGAAUGUUGUUUUGUAAUGAAAUUGGCAACAAUCACGUCAGAAAUGCUGAAAAAAGAGAAAUGGCAAAUGUUCUGUUAAAUAUAAAACUUCUACAAUUGGGGAGAUAUAAUAAGAUUUAAGAGGAAGUGCUUAUGCUAGUGUUUUUUGUUUACUUGGUUACGUUGGAGAGAAAAAUGGGUUUGAAUUUUCAAGCUCUGAUAAGUGUAUACGUUGAUGCAGGUUAUAGCUUAGAUCAGAAGAAACCAAACAUGGCUGGGAUUUUCCUCAGAUACCCAAGUAAUUAAGAAGUGAAGGGAACAAAACUUAGGCAAAAACCACCAUUGUAGGCUCUGGGUUGGCUGAGUAGGUUAGAACUUAGGCCCCACUGAAAUCAGUGGGGAAAGAUAGUCACAGCUUUCAACAAUUCUAUAAAUGAAUGGAAUUUAUCUUAAAUAAAGGGACUACAAAGGUCCUCUAUUCCAACCCCCUGCAAUGUAGGAAUAUUUUUGCCCAGCAUGGGGCUCAAACCCAUGACUCUGACAUUAAGAGUGCCAUGCUCUACCAACUGAAUGUUUCUUUAUUUCUCUGUUUUUGCAAUAAUUAUACCUACCUUUAUAUUUCGCCAAUUGGAGUCUUUAUAUCUUGACAUGCCACAUCAUGAGGAUACCUCUCCUUUCCUUAACUCUGAGAAUAAACAAAUAAAUAGUAAUUGAAAACUUGGAUAUACAGUACACCAAUUCUAUCACUCCUCUUUUGAUUCUUCUUCCUUUAUACCCAAGAGCAUAAUUACAAUCUACAAUAAUGAAUUUAUAAAAGCAGAUCAUUAUGUGUAAUGCCGAAGUCCUUCAGUAAUUUAUUUUUACCAUUGUAACACUGAGCUGCAUUAUUGUCGACAGAAAAUCAUGUAAAUUCUCUGAAGCCUCUUAAACAGGCCCUCAAGGUAGAGAGUUAUAGCAUUUUUCUGCUACAGGCUAGUUAUACUUUCACGGUCAAAGUAUAAUGUUAGAACAUAGGGUAUGAAGAGCCAACUCUUCAAAACUGAAGCAGAAAAAUAGGUGGAGAAUUAUUUUCAUAUAAAAGGUGCAUUACUGAGUAGCUCGGUUGAGCUGGAAGUCUGCACGUGAGUCAGACCUACCACUAGUACUAUUAUUAUUUAGUGACAUUAAUGUAUUAAUGACCUUCUAUACAUUAAGGCAAGGGACGCGGAUGGCGCUGUGGGUUAAACCACAGAGCCUAGGACUUGCCGUUCAGAAGGUCGGCGGUUCGAAUCCCCGCAAUGGGGUGAGCUCCCAUUGCUCAGUCCCUGCUCCUGCCCACCUAGCAGUUCGAAAGCACGUCAUUGUGCAAGUAGAUAAAUAGGUACCACUCCAGCGUGAAGGUAAACGGCGUUUCCAUGCACUGCUCUGGUUUGCCAGAAGUGGCUUAGUCAUGCUGGCCACAUGAUCCGGAAGCUGUACGCUGGCUCCCUCGGCCAAUAAAGCGAGAUGAUUACGCAACCCCAGAGUCAUCCGCGACUCGACCUAAUGGUCAGGGUCCAUUUACCUUUACCUUUAUACAUUAAGGCAAUGUACAACAAAAACAGCAAAAGAAAAAUUAAAAAAUACAAAAAAGGUAUUGAUACAUUUAAAACAGAACUAAAACCAUACGAAUAGACACAUGUGACAAAGAUCCAUAUAUCCAGUUUGGAAUGCCUGAGACAAAAAUGUCUUUAAUGUCCAAUAAAUUUCAUUAUGGUUGGUUUGUGGUUCUGAACAUCCCUUCUUCUCUUCUUGUGUCACAUAUGAAUGUAGGACAGAAUGUGGACAACACAAAACAAAUGAGGUCAGCUACUAGAGAGAGGACCUUCUCAGUAUUGGCACCCACAGAAAGGUCUGCCUAGUACUGAUAUGAUACCCUUUUUAGGUGCCAGGUCAAUACUUUUUUUUUUUUAACUCCUUUUUAUAUUAGCUGUACUGAUAUCAUUAUCUGUUGCUGGUUUUAAUUAUGUGUUAGAUUUUAGUAUCAUGUUACAUUUUAUGUUUUUAAUUUUCAAUUUUUCACCCUAGGGGCCUUUUGUCAUUAGGUGGUAUAUAAUUAUUGGGGAUAAUAAAUAAAUUCAUAAAUUUAAUUGUUGUAUCUUGGCUAGAAUGCUAUUCCACAGAACAGGGGCAGCCACACUGAAAGCCCUGCUCUUGGUUAUUGUGGAGUGGACUUUUGCAAUCUUUGGAACUUGCAGGCUUUUGAAGACUUUGGAAGUGCUGUGCAUAUAAUGUGAUAUCUCUAACGGCUCUGUGUACAACGAGUUGCCAAUAUAACAAAGCAAGCAAACGUUGGCUCAGGUUGACUACUCUUCUUAUGCAUGGGACUUGGACAUGAGCACCAACUUCAGAUGUUAAAUACUGCUAAAAAUAACAAAGACAUACCUCUGCUAAUACCUAAAUAGUCAUUGACACUAUUUGCCACAUCUAAGGCAAUCAUAUGCCUCUAUACUAGCAUUGGUUAGCUCUGCUAGGAUCAAAGAUGUCAUUCUGACCAACAAGUUCUACUGAUAAUUGAAUCAAUGUACUAUUAGCAUUCCCUGGGAAGCAAACACCACUUGUUUCCUCAAGGGACACCCUCGAUAUCUGACUGUUUUCAUUGGUUCAGAAAACUGUUGUGACCACCCAAUCAAUCCAUGACAGGAUACCUGCUUUGUUGUACCUGCUGAUGACUCAGUAUCAGUGCCAGUAGUCAUUGAAUGUCCCUUUUGUCUAGUUUGUACUUGAUUUAAUAAUAUUUUUUGUCUAGGAGGCUCUGCUCUCUAAUUGGUGUCUCUCAAAUGACAUGUCCUCUAAAUGGUUUCCCUGUUUAGUUUUAGUUUUUUUAUCCCAGACUCUCCACAGUUCAACCUUUGGAAUUCCUCUAGGAGAAUGGUAUAUGCUUGCGGUUCGAGGACCCGAUCCCCGCUUAGUGGAAUGAAAACACAAGGACACGUGAUAUAAGGUUAAUAGGCAAGAAAAGGCCACAACUUUAUUGAUUACAGCAAGUGAAAAGGUAUUGGCUUAGGCAUUGGAUUACGUCAGCCGACUCCACCCCCUCAGAGAGGGGUGAGUCUAAAACAGGGGGGUUUAUUCACCAGUAGGUGGAGCCUGUUGAUGCUAAUCCAACUAUAGGCUCUCCCCUGAUGUCACCGAGGGUCGUGCCAUGGCCUCCCACCACGCAGGCAUCGGACAGAACACACGACCGCCGGAUUCCUUUAACGGAAUACCCAAAAAUUGAAGGCGUAGGCGAUGGCCACACCUAGCUCUUCGACAUACCACAACACGUUAUUCCAAUGCCUAACCUACCCACCAAUACCACAAAAGUUGUGACGAUUGCUAUGAGGUAGGCGAAAAAACCAAAAAGCCUAAUGCCAAAUGGAAAAAUUCCUACCAGGCCCCCCGGACAACCAGGGCGACCAACCUAAGGUCCAUAGCAAGGCCAAAGAAAACUGAGACCCUGAGCUCUAAGGGAGGGGAGGGUGGGUGACUCGCGACGGGACGACGAAGAGUGAGGCCGGGGGGGGGGGCUGGCGCCGCAGCAUUUUGGGCUGCUGUACACGCCCCCUCGGAGGCACCUGGUUGGGUGCCUGCCGGUGGGCGUGGGCGCCAGCCAGGUGAGUGGGAGGCAGGGGGCUAAUGCCCCCUGCUUGCGGCGGAGUCCGGCUCCCGACCGCAACCACUCCCCUCUCUUGCAGGAGGAGAGUCUUUCUCUCACGCAAGCCUGCUCAACUUCAUGAAAGUCCAUGGAAACAAACCUUGUAAGCCUUAACUAUAUCUUAUCCCUUUGUCUCCUCUCUGUGUUUCUUUUCUUCAAGUUAGCCGGGACCUCUCAAGGGAACAUGUUUUAUGUUCUUCCCUUAAGGGAGCUUCCCCCCCUCCCAUGUUUAAACCAUAUUAUGAGAGUUCUAAGCGAUCCAAGCUUGUGAAUCACUAACCACUGAAAUAUAUGUAUGGCCCUAGGGUGACCUACAAAAGCUUUCCUACCUUCAUCCAUCCCAUCAUCAUCUGAGCCUCUUUCCUGAAGCUUUUCCCCCCUUCUGAGUCUUACUAUCAAUCAUAUUCAGGUGGACAAGCUAAGGCAGACUAAAGAAUUUGUGCCUAGUCUUCAUCCGGUCCAUAGAACCCCACAUUCUUCAAAUCAAGAUGAAAUCUGGAGAGUCGCCUCCUUUCCUCCUCCAUUCCACAGAACAGGCAGCUGAGAGUAUUUCAUUUCACCUUUUGUUCUCUACCUUAACUGUUUCCCAAAUUGUACUGUCAUGUGAUCCAGGGGUAGGCAACCUAAGGCCCGGGGGCCAGAUGUGUGCUUUUAUUUAAAAUGCAUCUCUGGGUUAUUUGUGGGGCAUAGGAAUUCGUUCAUAUUCCCCCCCCCCAAAAAAAAUAGCCUGGCCCACCACAUGAUCUGAGGGACGGUGGAUCGUCCCACGGCUGAAAAAGGUUGCUGCCCCCUGAUGUGAUCCAAAACAAGGUAAUUUGCAUUCAUGCGUUCCCUUGUGUGACUAGGUUUCCACUGCAGCUCUGUCAGAUCCCUCUCCCUGCUCCUUCUCUGGCAAUCACUGAACUGAGUGCGUCCAUCGAUCUCUAUCAUAAUAAUGCACUUAUUCUAAGUCACUGGUUAACUUUGCAUACAUGCAAACCCAACAUUCAUCACCUCUUCCCAACUCUUCCUCUCUUCGCAAAUCACUACAACCACCAACCACACACUGCACACAAAAUCUGGGAUUUUAAAAUAAGAAAAAAACUUAGAGUAGUAGGGAUAAGUAAACUGAUGAAGUGUUUUGUGAAUCAGACUAAAAGCACAUCAAAUAGAGCACCAAAUUUCUUAUGCUGUCAAACAGUUUUAAAAGAAGGGGGUGUUGCCCUUACCCCGUGUUUUGUGUGCUCAUCUCUGAGCUCUGCACUUUCUCUGUGCUCAAUAGAUCAGUUAUGCUUUGUUCAAAGUGCUGAAGGGUGAUUUGAUAGGGUGAUGGAUGAUUAUCUUCCAGGUCACUUUCAUCCCAUGAUGCUUGAGGAAAGAGACAGAAAGGUAAAUAGAUCAAUGGAAAGUCUUAAAGAAUCCUUGAUGUGUUCUUCCUUCUCAAAGCAGCUCAGCUAUCUACAGGAGCUGUGGAAAGGGAAGCCAUGGGGAAUGGCAAAUGAAGAAUAUAUUUGCUUUGGAGUGAAGCCCAUUUCAGUAGAAGAAGGAAACUGUUCCUGAAUCUGCUAUUUUCUGUGUUAAUUUUUUCACAAAAAUAUUUUAACUACCGUAAAUCUAAUUGGAACAUGAUAAUAACCUAAAACCAUAGCUGUCAACUUUUCCCUUUUCUUGCAAGGAAUCCUAUUCGGAAUAAGGGAAUUUCCCUUUAAAAAAGGGAAACAUUAAGAGCUAUGACCUAAACAUGCUAGCAUUUCACUACAGAAGAAUAGCCUUCCUUAUUAUCCUCCAGAUAUUAAUUGCACAUUGGGUUGGAUUCAAAGAGUAAAUGUAAAGCAAAUAUAUUCUAUUUGGGUAACUAACUACUAUUUUCUACUUCCAUCCAAUCUCAAUAUGCGUUUUUUCUGGAACGCAUUGCUCCCACCCUUAACAUCCAUACCACUCCUUCUUUCAAAGGCCUUUUUCAAAUGUGCAAUCUAGGUAGAAUAAGUAAGCAUGAGAGAAGAAGCAGGUUCUGUCCAGAAACAGCAUGCAUUCAAUUUCAGCAUCUUAAGUGAGCCAACACACUACAAGGCAGGGUUCUCAUUGCAGCAACAGGACCCAUAACUGAAUGCACAAUAGUUGAGGAUGGAUCCUUCCACCAUGAUAUCCAUGAAUGUUCAUUUGAUUCAGACUAAAAGACUGAAAAAAGCUUGUGUUUAAACAUCUCUAGACAGAAUCACAUUCUUCCCUCAAACCUUUCAGCUCCACUCUUUGCCUCUUUUCUCUUCCUUUCUCAUUUUCCACUUUUAUAAUUUGCUGGUUUUACACUGUAGGCCAGCAGCUAGGAUUUGUGCUAAAUCACAAGUGCUUUAUGAGUAGGAAACAUGAUGUUUAAGUAUGCUCCCUAUUUUCCUGGCCAUAGGAGCAUACUAGAAUCCAACCUAUAUUUCAAUUAAACUCUAUAGAAGCUAGGCCUGAACACUCUUCAUGCAUUGUAUUCAUGUUUGAGGGAGUAGGGCUACAUCAACUAACCCCACACCUGACAUUGUGCACUCUGACUUGCCCUGCCCGCAGUACAGAACAAACAUCUGUACUAGGGAAUCGUUGCAUGAAUUUCAGGGGAUAAGACAAACUGGUAUGUGUGACAUUGGAAAAUGGGCUAGUCAGGACUUCUGAUGAAGGCUGCUGACUAUGCAUUAUGUAAAGGGAGAAUUCAAACUUGGGGAACUGUUUUUGAUGGCAGGGGUUCCCAUAACAUAUAUAGCUCAAUGCACACUUUAUGGCCAAUGCUGUCUGGAAAUGGGCUGCAAUUACCUGAUGGCCAAUUCAAAGGAAAAAAGGAAAAACUUAAUUUUUUCAACAAAAGUAAAGUGUUGGUUUUUCCUUUCCUGAUUUAACAAGAAAGCAGCGUGUGCAUAUAUUUAACAAACAUGCACAUUUUACCUGCCCACAAACCCACUAGGCAUCACACCCCAAGGGGCAGAAGUAGCCUAUUCAGUAUUCAGUCCGAGUGUAUUUAUAGCCAAAGAGUCGAACUGUGAGGAGAAUUUAUCAGGGCUGUGAAAGGAGCAUCAUGAAUUAUUUACCAAAAAAAAAUCAAAUUUUAUAACCCUUCUCAAUCUUUCAUAAACUGUGUCUUCCCAUUUUAUUUGAAAUUUUACCUGCAAUCAUAAUACAGCAUAAGUCAGAGAAAUGUCUUUCUGAAAGAUUUGUAAGAGCACAGGUAGAAAGCGGGCACACAAUAGUGCCUGUACUUGAAAGAAUUGCUGGAAUGACUAGUUAAGUGUUUAAUUUUUAAAGCAUGCAGGGGGAUGUGACAGAUCUCUUUUUAAACUUCCAUAACCCCCUUUCUUUCCAUUUAGGAGGAAAGAAAGACACAAAGAAUCAGUCACACCAGUUCUUCUUUAAAGAUCUUCUCCCUCCCGCCCUGUUUCAGAAAGAGCAGAAGGAAGGCAACCUGCAACUCUCCCUCCUGCCAGUUCUUUUUUGGUCCUACUGCAAAUUUCUCCUUUUUAUCUCUCUCCAAAACCAAAGCAAUCCUCUGCACAACCUCCAUGGCUGAAACCCAGUUCACUUCUCGCCCUCUCCUACUAUCUCGUCUCUAGGACAGUUAAAUAUACAAUUGCCGUUUUAUUUUCUCUUUCAAUAAAACUGGAUUUUGG